GCCUGAAGUGUCUGCCUGAGAAAAGCCAGGGGAAUUAUGCCUACUUCCCUCCACUGAGUACAAAGGGAGAGAGGCUGACAAUCUCAGCUGUAGCUAUUUACUAAGUCCUUGUAAACAGUGUUAGAUGAGAUGCAUUUAACCCUGAUUGUGGCUUUCCAUAAAAAUUGAGAAGAAACUCUCAUUGGCCUAGGCAUUUUUAAGAGCUCUAUAAAGAUGAGAUGUCAGAAUUGUGGUCAGAUAUUCUGACUUUUUGUCACAUGUGACCAGCCUCUUAGUCUACAAAAGAGCACACCAAAGUCAAAUGAAGGUAGCUGUCCAACCUGAGGUGCUUUAAAAGGGUCUGGAUUGGAAAGGAAGACUCCCAGCCUGUCAAAACUUGACACUGGGCUCUGCAUCAAGUUCAGCCCUAAAGGACUUGCAGCUUUCCAGAAAUGUGUGGAAACAUCUGUAAGUGCAGGAGAACUGGGCUCCAGAGAACAUGUACCUCCCACACUAUGUAUCCAUAGUGUCUGACUUUCAAGCCUUGCUGGUGUUGCCUUUGAAGUCAAUGAGAAUUUUGCUAUUGACCUCAGCUGGAAUGAGAUCAAUGGGAACAAGCCCUUAGUGCACAACAUGUGCAAAAUUUUGCCUAACAGUCUAAAAACUCAAGAACUGAACCACGAGCCACAAUCACAGAGACGAAGUGGUGGAGUCCAGAACUUCCCUCCCGUUGCACACGGUUGGCACGUACAUGCUGGCAGAUGCUGGAAGAGAAAGAGAGUGGAAAAUCAGCUGACUUCAGCACAGCAAAAAGGGGCAACACACAGGAUUAGAAUUUGUGCUGGUCUGGACCAUCUCACCCCAUUUAACCAAGGUGCCUAAUGAAAAGUCACUGCCUGUGUCAGCAGCAGAGCUGAUGGAGGUGCUGCUUGCACUCUGCUUGGCACCUCAGACCUCAGGCUGAAGCAUCCUCUGAAGAAAGCUGAUUUCACUUUGCUGCCCACUGUGAGCACAGAGGGUGAUUACACUUCUCCAAGAAGUGUCAGGAUAAAAUGCAUGGGGUUUUUCUCCCGCCCGAUGAUUCUGUGCCACUGGGUCUCACUUUGUAGCACUUUGCAAGGUGGUGUGAAUUAAUACAGCUGUAAUGGUAUCGAAAUACCUCAGUAGAAAAAAGUGAACACUUGGAUUUUUUGUGUUUUAUUGGCAAGAAAUGCUAAGGUCUGAUCCUUUGAGCUUUCACAUAAUUGGAGCGGACAUUCAUGAAGGAAAUAUAUGUAGUUUUAAAUCCUGGAGAUAAUCUACCAUAUUAGAAUUCUGUGUCAAUCACCUUUUAAUUAAUAGAAAUAAGAAUUCUAAGAACAUACGGGGUGAAGUGAAGAAAUUUUUUAAUAACUGAAUUUUAAAGCAAGAUUAUUUCUCACCUAAUCCCAGAAUGAUUUCUAACUAUAAUACACUUCUAGGAGCUCUGGAUCAGGAUUCACUAUGCAUCCAGAGGUGAGGACCAGAUUCUGAUAAACUUGUUUACAUUUUAUACAUCAUUUUUUCAUUGCUUUAAUGGUAUUAAAUGACAAUUAAAUCUGAGUAUAACAAUCUGUUUCCAAAUGUAUUUGUAUUUUGAGCAGAGAAUAGAUUACCUUAUUCUGCUUAAGUCUUAUGGAUUUUAAUUUAAAAGCAAAUUGUUUUGCCCAUCUUUGUUAAAAUUAUCCAUUGGGCAUCAGAAAUGUGUUUUCAGAUACUCUGUGACAUCUCUGCUCAGGGCACCAUAAAAGCUGCUUUUUGAAAGAUACAUUAGGUUAAUGGUAACAGUGACCCAGAGAAAUGUGAUGCCUUCAUCAAAGAAAACACAUGGCAAGCAAUGACUUAGUAAACUCAAUCAUCCAGUGUAAAAAGCAAUUUAUGCAGCUGACAAGGGCAUGCUCAAUCUUCCACAUCUGCUGCUGGCUGCACUCUCAGUUGCACACUGGUUCUGUAAAGAUGCUCAGUAUAAUUUUUAGAAAAAAAUAUUCUUUCUUCAAAUCAGCUGGUAUUUUUCAUUCUUUCAUGGACUGAAUAAAUAUUUCAUGGAAAACAGAAUUGCUUUAACAAAAGAAAUUUAAAGGCAUCUACUAAUAACUAAUUUAGAGGACCAACCUACUAGUCAGAGUGCAGGACAUCUUCCUGAAACAGGAGACCCAAGAACAAGCCCCUCUUCUGGAUUAGGUCAAUGGAAUUUGAUCUCUCACAACAUGGAUGUGUGUUAUGAGUCACAGGUGUGGAAGAAGUGUUGUAUGUGAAAGACCACAGGGCAUCAUGUCUGUCAUUUCUAAAACUUAAUUAGUAUUUUGUAUUCUGAUUUCAUAUUCUGUUUUUAACUGGGUAUAACAUGGCAGCACAAUGACCCAAACUGUUUUUUAAUUGCUAUUUUUAUUUUCUACUUUUUGUUAGAAAAUAGAAAAAUCAGUUUUGCUCAGGAAACCUGAUUCAAAUCCCUGUUCUACUGCAGUUUGGCUACAGGCAAAAGCAUUUUGUUUUCAUGAACAUCAGUCACUUAGCCAGAAUUUUUUUAGCUUCAGGCUUUUUUUUUUUUUUUUUUUUGAAGUCCAAGACACUGACAAGCAUGAAUAGCUGAAAUACUAUGGUAACUGGGUCAGGAGGAUAUCAAAAUUGGACAGAAAUAUAUGGUGGUAGGCAAGAAAUGAGUGGCCUUGCCUUUUAAGUUUCCAGGCUUCCUGCACAGCAUGUAGCUCUCUUGCAGUGCUGGGAUGCAGUUAUUAACUCUGCUGGGUGGAGUAAAGUGUUCACACUGAGCAUCCAGCUCUCCUGAGACAGAGCAAAAGACCUUGCUUUCCAUUACAGACCUCAGCAGUGUUAAUCACUGGCCCUGCAGGGUUCUGAGCUACACUCCGUGUCUGAUAGCAGCCACCAAGGGCUUUCCUGGAAUACUGCUGGAUAUGCAAGAGACACUUCACCUUCAUUCUGUGCUGAGACCAAGGACAAAAGUGGGACAUCAGCAGAAGUUGUGAUUUGGCUCAAGUUCAUGCUUUUGAUCUCCCUCUUCCUGGCUGUCCCUCAUUUUGCUUAGCUAAUCCAAGGAAAAGAACCAGAGGUACAAUGCAAGAGCCCAGCACUGCCAUGGUGACCUUGAAGCUUUGCCAACACAGCCAAGAACAGGCAGAUCUGAAUGUGCUGUCUGUAUGCCACUUAGAGUCAUAGAACCAGAGAAUAUCCUGUCUUGGAAGGGUCCCACAAGGGUCAUUGAGUCCAAUUCCCCUCUGUGCACUGGACAACCCCAGGAACCACACCAUGUGCCUGAGAGCAUUGUCUCCUCUACUUAUGCUCACAGCUGGACAACUGUGAGUUAAGCUCUAUUAGGUCAGGGCUAGUUUGGAGCCAGGCCAGGGGAAAUAAAUUCAGAGGGAAGAUAAAAAUUGCCAGUCUGGCUAUAAACAGGAGGUUCAAUUCUCCUUGUGACCCCUGUGCAGGCCACCUGGAGGAGCUCAGCUCUGCUGGCAGCUCCCCAUGUGGACUGAGAUAAA
Long non-coding RNA from Passer domesticus (house sparrow), 3494 nucleotides. RefSeq lists it as uncharacterized. The record is from RefSeq and is a predicted model, not a curated record. NCBI's taxonomy places the organism in Eukaryota, Metazoa, Chordata, Aves, Passeriformes, Passeridae. The transcript is spliced from 3 exons.